GAGUACAACAUAAGAGAAACAUAAGAGAACCAACCGAAGAAAACAAAGUUCCCAAGAAUGCAAUUGUGUAGAAAAAUUGAGUUGCCAUUAUGUUAACUAUUUAAAAAAAUAAAAAUCUUAUUCUGUCAAAUUUUGAAAUACAUGCUGUUGCAGCAUAAGGGAUGUAUGUUUGUUCAUUAAAUGAAUUAUGACAAGUUAUUAAUAAAUCAAAGUAUUUGAAUUUAUUGAUUAAUUUUAAAAAUUACCUGUAAUUCUUGGAUCACUGACAAGCC
Molecule: long non-coding RNA, 272 nt
Organism: Daktulosphaira vitifoliae (grape phylloxera)
Lineage: Eukaryota; Metazoa; Arthropoda; Insecta; Hemiptera; Phylloxeridae
Exons: 3
Source: RefSeq, a predicted model, not a curated record